CGGCGGACGGGUGAGUAACACGUGGAUAACCUACCUAUAAGACUGGGAUAACUUCGGGAAACCGGAGCUAAUACCGGAUAAUAUAUUGAACCGCAUGGUUCAAUAGUGAAAGACGGUUUUGCUGUCACUUAUAGAUGGAUCCGCGCCGCAUUAGCUAGUUGGUAAGGUAACGGCUUACCAAGGCGACGAUGCGUAGCCGACCUGAGAGGGUGAUCGGCCACACUGGAACUGAGACACGGUCCAG
RNAcentral lists this ribosomal RNA (244 nucleotides) under uncultured bacterium. RNAcentral describes it as "partial 16S ribosomal RNA". It matches the Rfam family "Bacterial small subunit ribosomal RNA", at positions 96 to 334 of the family's 1533-position model. The record is from RNAcentral. RNAcentral also lists the same sequence under 1 other name.